This 253-nucleotide ribosomal RNA is filed under the name uncultured bacterium. RNAcentral describes it as "partial 16S ribosomal RNA". It matches the Rfam family "Bacterial small subunit ribosomal RNA", at positions 524 to 776 of the family's 1533-position model. The record is from RNAcentral.
UACGUAGGGACCGAGCGUUGUCCGGAAUCAUUGGGCGUAAAGAGCGUGUAGGCGGCUUGCUAAGUCUUGCGUGAAAUCUCGGGGCUCAACCCCGAGCGGUCGUGGGAAACUGGCAGGCUAGAGUGCGGGAGAGGAGAAUGGAAUUCCUGGUGUAGCGGUGAAAUGCGCAGAUAUCAGGAAGAACACCCGUGGCUAAGGCGGUUCUCUAGUACGGUACUGACGCUGAGACGCGAAAGCGUGGGGAGCGAACAGG